This 238-nucleotide transfer RNA is filed under the name Pneumocystis jirovecii. RNAcentral describes it as "tRNA-Pseudo(TAC)". The record is from RNAcentral. Lineage: Eukaryota; Fungi; Ascomycota; Pneumocystomycetes; Pneumocystales; Pneumocystaceae.
UUUUUUAAAAAAAAAUAAAUUUAUUUUUUUGAUUUUACAAAGUUAAAAAUAUUUAAAAUUUUUUUAAUUCAAAAUUACAUAAAUAAUUAAUAAUAAAAUAUAAAAAUCAUCUAAAAAUACUUUUUAAUUUCUUUCAUAUAAAACAUUAAUAAAUAUAUAUAUAAUAAAAAAUCAAUAAUAUAAAAUACUAUUUAGGAUAUUUUAUUCAAUGUUCAAUAAGACAAAUUAUUUAACAAAA